GUUUCUCUAAUAUAAAAAAGUAUUUCCGUCUUCCAAACGGAUAGUUCAUCAGUAAGAUGAGAGAAAUA
RNAcentral lists this transfer RNA (68 nucleotides) under Lottia digitalis (California fingered limpet). Its description in RNAcentral is "tRNA-Gly". The record is from RNAcentral. Lineage: Eukaryota; Metazoa; Mollusca; Gastropoda; Lottiidae.